Molecule: small RNA, 154 nt
Filed under: Flavobacterium sp. 270
Lineage: Bacteria; Pseudomonadati; Bacteroidota; Flavobacteriia; Flavobacteriales; Flavobacteriaceae
Description: Flavo-1 RNA
Rfam family: Flavo-1 RNA
Source: RNAcentral
UUUUAGCCCAGAUGGAAACGGAAACCCCGGAAUUAUAAUUGUUCGUUUUUUUUGGUGUAAAAGAGCGACUCCCGACGCUUCGGGAGAAGCUGCUUUUAUGCCUUAAAAAAACAACAAUUGUAAUGAGGAGUUGAAGUGUACAGCUGGAUUGGCU